CCUACGGGAGGCAGCAGUGGGGGAUAUUGCACAAUGGGGGGAACCCUGAUGCAGCGACGCCGCGUGAGUGCAGGAGCAUUUCGGUAUGUAAAGCUCUAUCAGCAGGGAAGAAGAUGACGGUACCUGAUUAAGAAGCCCCGGCUAACUACGUGCCAGCAGCCGCGGUAAUACGUAGGGGGCAAGCGUUAUCCGGAUUUACUGGGUGUAAAGGGGGCGUAGACGGCAGCGCAAGUCUGAAGGGAAAUGCCGGGGAUUAACCCCGGGACUGCUUUUGAAACUGUGCAGCUAGAGUGCAGGAGGGGCAAGUGGAAUUCCUAGUGUAGCGGUGAAAUGCGUAGAUAUUAGGAGGAACACCAGUGGCGAAGGCGGCUUACUGGACUGUAACUGACGUUGAGGCUCGAAAGCGUGGGGAGCAAACAGGAUUAGAUACCCUUGUAGUC
Molecule: ribosomal RNA, 440 nt
Filed under: uncultured bacterium
Lineage: Bacteria
Description: partial 16S ribosomal RNA
Rfam family: Bacterial small subunit ribosomal RNA
Source: RNAcentral